CAGUAGCCGCGGGAAUACAGAGGGUGCAAGCGUUAAUCGGAUUUACUGGGCGUAAAGGGCGCGUAGGUGGUUAUUUAAGUGAGAUGUGAAAUCCCCGGGCUUAACCUGGGAACUGCAUCUUAUACUGGGUAACUGGAGUGCAGUAGAGGGUAGUGGAAUUUCCGGUGUAGCGGUGAAAUGCGUAGAUAUCGGAAGGAACACCAGUGGCGAAGGCGGCUACCUGGACUGAGACUGACACUGAGGCGCGAGAGCGUGGGGAGCAAACAGGAUUAGAUACCCCCGUAGUCCCUGUCUCUUAUAC
RNAcentral lists this ribosomal RNA (301 nucleotides) under uncultured bacterium. Its description in RNAcentral is "partial 16S ribosomal RNA". It matches the Rfam family "Bacterial small subunit ribosomal RNA", at positions 509 to 807 of the family's 1533-position model. The record is from RNAcentral.